GGCACAGUGGUGCAGUGGUUAGCGCUGCUGCCUCACAAUGAGGAGGUUCUAGGUUUGAGUCCCGGCUGGCCA
Non-coding RNA from Gymnothorax javanicus (giant moray), 72 nucleotides. The record is from the annotation of a GenBank genome assembly. Lineage: Eukaryota; Metazoa; Chordata; Actinopteri; Anguilliformes; Muraenidae.